This is a long non-coding RNA of Oncorhynchus kisutch (coho salmon), 810 nucleotides long. RefSeq lists it as uncharacterized. The record is from RefSeq and is a predicted model, not a curated record. NCBI's taxonomy places the organism in Eukaryota, Metazoa, Chordata, Actinopteri, Salmoniformes, Salmonidae. The transcript is spliced from 4 exons.
CGGGGGGUCUGAGGGGGUUUCUCUCCUCCCUUGUACUUGAUUGAUGAAUUAAGGUCACUGAUUAAUAAGGAACUCCCCUCACCUGGUCGUCUAGGGCUUAAUUUAUUUACAAUUUAGACUCCCCAAUUUCUUUGACUCCCCCCUAUCGCUGCAACUCCAGUACGGACUCGGGAGAGGCGAAGGUCGAGAGCCGUGCGUCUUCCGAAAAACGACCCCGCCAAGUCACACUGUUUCUUGACACAAUGCUUGCUUAACCCGGAAGCCAGCCGCACCAAUGUGUAAGAGGAAACACCGUACAUCUAGCGACUGUCUCAGCGUGCAUGCGCCCGGCCCGCCACAGGAGUCACUAGAGCGCAAUGGGACAAGGACGUCCCUGCCGACCAAACCCUCCCCUAACCCGGGCGAUGCUGGGCCAAUUGCACACACUUAACUGAAAUUUUUAAAUAUCUUCUCCAUUUGAGAAAAUGGACAAUUCAAUGGAUUUCAAUCAACAAAGAGGUAUUCAGAGGAGGAGGCAUACCAAGGAAUGUCAAUUGGUAUGUUAUGCAGAUCACAUGUACCAUUCUCCUCCCUUACCUCUUCAAUGAAUAUCCCAAAGGCCUCUAGACCCUCCCUACACCUCUGAAUAUAACAGGAAACAUGUUCAUUCACCAAAACUGUAAAAUCAUUCUGGCUAUGGAUACGGAGAACAUCAACACAUUAACAUCAACAGGCCAGAGGAUAUACCUAUUGGACUUGGAGCUCUGCUGGGAGUUUACCUCAUAUUUCAAUUUAUUUAUUCUGCUUUCCCACUAAACAUCUGAAUAAACA